GUCUACGGCCAUACCACACUGAGCGCGCCCGAUCUUGUCUAAUCUUGGAAGCUAAGCAGGGUCGGGCCUGGUUAGUACUUGGAUGGGAGAAAAGUAAACUAUGUACCAAUCUGGAAAAAAGAUUUUCAUAAAAU
This 134-nucleotide ribosomal RNA is filed under the name Castor canadensis (American beaver). Lineage: Eukaryota; Metazoa; Chordata; Mammalia; Rodentia; Castoridae. The record is from RNAcentral.